AUGGGUGCUUCUCUGUGCUUGCAGGAGCAGACUGCAAUGCUAUUUAACUUAAUUUGCAGUGAGGUAAAAGUUGCUAUCCUGCCCUCUCUUUUCCACAGGCAUCGUUGUAUGACAUUGACAGUUUUGGUAUUUUAUACUAAGAACACGUUUUGGAAAAACAAGAUAGGCAUGACUUCAGUGCACAAUGCUUCCCUCAUGGUUGUAAUUUAUUUGCAGGGAAGGAAAUUCUUAGCCACUCAUGUCAUGACUUCAGUGCAAAAGUCAGUCAUCCUUACUUUUUCAUAUUCUCCACUACACAUGGCUUCAUAUACAAGUCUAUCUUCUGUGUAG
RNAcentral lists this ribosomal RNA (330 nucleotides) under Triticum aestivum (bread wheat). Its description in RNAcentral is "partial small subunit ribosomal RNA". Lineage: Eukaryota; Viridiplantae; Streptophyta; Magnoliopsida; Poales; Poaceae. The record is from RNAcentral.